This 596-nucleotide ribosomal RNA is filed under the name uncultured bacterium. RNAcentral's name for it is "bacterial SSU rRNA". It matches the Rfam family "Bacterial small subunit ribosomal RNA", at positions 338 to 943 of the family's 1533-position model. The record is from RNAcentral.
CCUACGGGAGGCAGCAGUGGGGAAUAUUGCACAAUGGGCGCAAGCCUGAUGCAGCGACGCCGCGUGAGGGAUGACGGCCUUCGGGUUGUAAACCUCUUUCAGUAGGGAAGAAGCGAAAGUGACGGUACCUGCAGAAGAAGCGCCGGCUAACUACGUGCCAGCAGCCGCGGUAAUACGUAGGGCGCAAGCGUUAUCCGGAAUUAUUGGGCGUAAAGAGCUCGUAGGCGGUUUGUCGCGUCUGCCGUGAAAGUCCGGGGCUCAACUCCGGAUCUGCGGUGGGUACGGGCAGACUAGAGUGAUGUAGGGGAGACUGGAAUUCCUGGUGUAGCGGUGAAAUGCGCAGAUAUCAGGAGGAACACCGAUGGCGAAGGCAGGUCUCUGGGCAUUAACUGACGCUGAGGAGCGAAAGCAUGGGAGCGAACAGGAUUAGAUACCCUGGUAGUCCAUGCCGUAAACGUUGGGCACUAGGUGUGGGGGACGAUUCCACGUUUUCCGCGCCGUAGCUAACGCAUUAAGUGCCCCGCCUGGGGAGUACGGCCGCAAGGCUAAAACUUAAAUGAAUUGACGGCUGAGACGNGCGAGCGACACGAGGAGAG